This 534-nucleotide ribosomal RNA is filed under the name uncultured eukaryote. RNAcentral's name for it is "SSU rRNA". It matches the Rfam family "Eukaryotic small subunit ribosomal RNA", at positions 435 to 995 of the family's 1831-position model. The record is from RNAcentral.
CGCAAAUUGCCCAAUCCCGACACGGGGAGCAGUGACAAGAAAUAACAACUCUUGGAUUUCUAAGAAGUGUAAUGAGGAUAAUUUACAACCCUUACCGAAAGCAAUUGGAGGGCAAGUCUGGUGCCAGCAGCCGCGGUAAUUCCAGCUCCAAUAGCGUAUAUUAAAGUUGUUGCAGUUAAAAAGCUCGUAGUUGAAGUUCUGAUUGUUCGGGCCUCGCGCUUUAUAGCCGAGGAACCGACAGUCAUCCGCUUGCAAAUAUAUGUUCGCCUUUAACCGGGUGGCUAUAUGAGUAAGCAAUUUACCUUGAGAAAAACAGAGUGUUCCAGGCAGGUUUGUCCGGAAUGCAUUAGCAUGGAAUAAUAGAAUAUGACUGAAGUCGAUUUAUUGGUUUAAGGCUUUAGUAAUGAUUAAUAGGAACAGUCGGGGGCAUUGGUACUUGACAGUCAGAGGUGAAAUUCUAGGAUUUGUCAAAGACUAACAAAUGCGAAAGCAUUUGCCAAGGAUGUUUUCAUUAAUCAAGAACGAAAGUUAGGG